RNAcentral lists this ribosomal RNA (200 nucleotides) under Pangshura tentoria. Its description in RNAcentral is "partial 12S ribosomal RNA". Lineage: Eukaryota; Metazoa; Chordata; Testudines; Geoemydidae. The record is from RNAcentral.
CAGUCCUGAACUAUCGUCAAUAGUUCAGUUAAAAAACUUGCUUCGCCCGAACAAUUCCAGCCAAUGCUUAAAACUCAAAGGACCUGGGGGGGCUUUAUAUCCCUUUAAAGGAGCCUGGUCUGUUAUUCAUUAACCCCCGCUCUACCUCACACCUCUUGGUCAAUUCAUAUACCGUCCCGUCCUCCAAACAAAAACAACAA